GCUGGGUGAGGUGGCGCAUGCCUGUAAUCCCAGCAACUCAGGAGGCUGAGACAGGAGGAUCUCAAGUUCAAAGAUAGCCUCAGCAAAGGUGAGACACUAAGUAACUCAGUGAGUCCCUGUCUCUA
Molecule: small RNA, 125 nt
Filed under: Marmota monax (woodchuck)
Lineage: Eukaryota; Metazoa; Chordata; Mammalia; Rodentia; Sciuridae
Source: RNAcentral